GAGGACUUCUGGCACAGUGGCCUGCACUGUUCAAAGUUUGCAAGAUCAGUGCUGAAUUGAAAAGAAUCACCACAGUCCCACUGCAAUGCCCUGCACUGUUCCAAGUCCACAA
Molecule: long non-coding RNA, 112 nt
Organism: Engraulis encrasicolus (European anchovy)
Lineage: Eukaryota; Metazoa; Chordata; Actinopteri; Clupeiformes; Engraulidae
Exons: 2
Source: RefSeq, a predicted model, not a curated record